Molecule: small nuclear RNA, 24 nt
Filed under: Arabidopsis thaliana (thale cress)
Lineage: Eukaryota; Viridiplantae; Streptophyta; Magnoliopsida; Brassicales; Brassicaceae
Description: snRNA_15991
Source: RNAcentral
AAUGACAUUUUAUUAUCAUUCAUA